This 509-nucleotide ribosomal RNA is filed under the name uncultured bacterium. RNAcentral describes it as "bacterial SSU rRNA". It matches the Rfam family "Bacterial small subunit ribosomal RNA", at positions 8 to 494 of the family's 1533-position model. The record is from RNAcentral.
AGAGUUUGAUCCUGGCUCAGAGCGAACGUUAGCGGCGGGCCUAACACAUGCAAGUCGAGGGAGAAAGUGGCUUCGGCCAUGAGUAAACCGGCGGACGGGUGAGUAACACGUGGGUAAUGUACCUACCGGCGGGGGAUAACAAUCCGAAAGGAUUGCUAAUACCGCAUUCGCUGGCGGGGUCUCCGGAUCCUGCCAGGAAAGAUGGCCUCUCAGCGAAGCUAUCACCGGUAGCUCAGCCCGCGUCCCAUCAGCUAGUUGGCGAGGUAAUGGCUCACCAAGGCGAAGACGGGUAGCUGGUCUGAGAGGAUGAUCAGCCACACUGGGACUGAGACACGGCCCAGACUCCUACGGGAGGCAGCAGUGGGGAAUAUUGGGCAAUGGGCGCAAGCCUGACCCAGCCACGCCGCGUGAGUGAUGAAGGCCUUCGGGUCGUAAAGCUCUGUGGGGAGGGACGAAUCAGUUGCUGGCUAACAUCCAGCGACCCUGACGGUACCUCCUUAGCAAGCACC